Long non-coding RNA from Aedes albopictus (Asian tiger mosquito), 520 nucleotides. RefSeq lists it as uncharacterized. The transcript is spliced from 2 exons. Lineage: Eukaryota; Metazoa; Arthropoda; Insecta; Diptera; Culicidae. The record is from RefSeq and is a predicted model, not a curated record.
AGUUACGCAAGCUGCGUAAAGCGCCUACGUACCCAUUGUGUUUCGGCAUCUGCUACGCACGGCGCAGAUCGUAUGGAACACCAGAAAGCGAAACAAAUUAAAUACCUAUACUCGGUGCAUUAGAUGUAGAUAGAUAUAUGCAAAUGAGUUUGUUGACAAUCGAGUUGAGAAAAAUCUUUCUGUAAUAGUUAAUCUCUAAACUAAUGAAUUUGUUACAAAAAAAAACUAGUUGAAGUUCACUAAAAAUAGGUUGAAUUAUUAAAAUUAGAAGUAGUUCCAUGCAGUGAAAUUGUGCAUCUAAAGAUUUAGAUCACAGAUAGUAGUGCGAUUAUCACAGUUAGUGCAUAAGCAUUGAUUCGGGACUGCAGUUAGGAUCAUCUACAACAAAGGUAAUAAUAUCAGUUACUAUGCUGCAGAACUAGGCAUGCGAAUAUAACAUUUAACUGCACUAAAAUAGGAAUCGCAGCAGCUACCGUACGGGACCGCUUUCCGGACGUAACGGGUAAAGACGCACUAAACG